AUUUUCUGGUUUGAUUUUUUGGAUUGUAUCUCAGUUUGUUUAAAGUUGUGUAUGUACUUGGCAAUGUAGCACUUAACUUUUGACAUUCUGAUUAUUUGACUGAAUAGACAUUUAUUUUUUCUUUUUGGUCUCUUUUGGCUAAAAAGGGGGAGAAGUAGCUAAAGUAGCUAUAUGAUGAUAUACUAUAGUAAAUAUGCUAUGCUAGAGAUGAUGUUACAUAUGAUGUUGGAAAUGAU
This 236-nucleotide long non-coding RNA is filed under the name Lathyrus oleraceus (garden pea). RNAcentral describes it as "Pisum sativum (pea) long non-coding RNA (PSAT_LNC019124)". The record is from RNAcentral. Lineage: Eukaryota; Viridiplantae; Streptophyta; Magnoliopsida; Fabales; Fabaceae.